Molecule: ribosomal RNA, 492 nt
Filed under: uncultured bacterium
Lineage: Bacteria
Description: partial 16S ribosomal RNA
Rfam family: Bacterial small subunit ribosomal RNA
Source: RNAcentral
AGUGAACGCUGGCGGUAGGCCUAACACAUGCAAGUCGAACGGCAGCACAGUACUUUCUUGCUCUUACGGGUUGCGAGUGGCGUACGUGUCAGGUAUACAUCGUAAUCUUCUUUUUCGUGUGGGUUAACGUAGGUAAACUUACUCUAAUACCUCAUACCACCUACGGUUGAAAUCAUUGGAUCUUCUGACCUUUCGCGUUUGUAUGAGCCGAUGUCGGAUUAGCUAGUUGGCUGGGUAAAUGCCCACCAAGUCGACGAUCCGUAGCUGGUCUGAGAGGAGGAUCAGCCAGACUGGAAGGGAGACAGGGAAAAGAGGACUAGGGGAGGGAGCAGUGGGGAAUAUUGGACAAGGGGGGAAAGAAUGAUCAAGAAAUACCGAGUGGGUGAAGAAGGACUUCGGGUUGUAAAGCACUUUUGUUGGGAAAGAAAAGCAGCAGGUUAAUAACAAGAUGUUAUGACGGUAACGAAAGAAUAAGCACCGGCUAACUACGUG